GAUGAACGCUGGCGGCGUGCCUAAUACAUGCAAGUCGAGCGAACAGAUGAGGAGCUUGCUCCUCUGACGUUAGCGGCGGACGGGUGAGUAACACGUGGAUAACCUACCUAUAAGACUGGGAUAACUUCGGGAAACCGGAGCUAAUACCGGAUAAUAUAUUGAACCGCAUGGUUCAAUAGUGAAAGACGGUUUUGCUGUCACUUAUAGAUGGAUCCGCGCCGCAUUAGCUAGUUGGUAAGGUAACGGCUUACCAAGGCAACGAUGCGUAGCCGACCUGAGAGGGUGAUAGGCCACACGGGAACUGAGACACGGUCCAGACUCCUAAGGGAGGCAGCAGUAGGGAAUCUUCCGCAAUGGGCGAAAGCCUGACGGAGCAACGCCGCGUGAGUGAUGAAGGUCUUCGGAUCGUAAAACUCUGUUAUUAGGGAAGAACAAAUGUGUAAGUAACUAUGCACGUAGUGACGGUACCUAAUCAGAAAGCCACGGCUAACUACGUG
This 497-nucleotide ribosomal RNA is filed under the name uncultured bacterium. RNAcentral describes it as "partial 16S ribosomal RNA". It matches the Rfam family "Bacterial small subunit ribosomal RNA", at positions 28 to 507 of the family's 1533-position model. The record is from RNAcentral.